Ictalurus punctatus (channel catfish) is the source of this 6015-nucleotide long non-coding RNA. NCBI's taxonomy places the organism in Eukaryota, Metazoa, Chordata, Actinopteri, Siluriformes, Ictaluridae. The record is from Ensembl.
UGUGUGUGUGUGUGUGUGUGUAUAUAAAUAUAUAAAUAAACAUCCAGAAUGAUGCAUGAGAAGUACAGCACAGAGAAACCUGUAAGAAAAAUUGCAGAAUAGUAGAAACAGAGAUCGUGUUGGAGAUCAGCCAAUGACGAGUCCAAUAAAUCACACACACACACACACACACACACACACACACACACGCUGAACACUGUAAGCUGAUUAUUGGAGCAUUUAAAAAGAAAUCUAUUCGUUGCAGCUGUGAAUCGCAGACAAAAAAAAGAAAAAAAAGAAAGCAUAAUCAAUAAACUGUUUAUGUGCGAAGUCUUUCCCGAGCGUUACUACUGUAUGAAGAGACGAGAGAAAGGGUUCGAACACGUUCGAGAGCAUUUCAGGGGAAAUGAGAGAUCAUUUUUAUUAUUUUUCCGAAGCGUACUGUGAAAGGCGAAUCUGAGGAGGAGAGGAGAGGAGAGAAGAAAGAAACGGAGAGUCCUAUACGGAGCACGGCUGAGUUAAUUGAGAUGAAUCGAGGACCAGAUGUGCAGAAUUGGGUCCUUCUGACUGUGUGUGAGAGAGAAAGACACAGAGGCGUGUCUCAUACAUUCUGUGCAUGAGAGCUGACUUUAGGCACUUUAAUCACUAAUGAUUUUUAAAUUGAAUUUAGUUGGGGCAAAAAAUAAAACAUAAAGCCCAUAAAACACAGGCAUCGGGAAAGGAAGACUUCUUCUUCUUCUCCUUCUUCUUCUUCUUCCCAGCUUCUUCAUUUUUGAUGUACAGACCUUACCCCAUAACUGUCUCCCAAUCGUUGCAAAAUAUCUAGGGUCAGGCUUAUAAAAUAAGAUCAUGUAGGCCCGUGGAGUAUUUCCAAACAAUCUGGCAACCCAAGAAAAAAAGGAAUGUGUGGUAAUAUGGAAAACGUCAGACUUGAGAGAACAUAUCAAGUAUAAUUUAGAUAAGAAUGAUAGCGUUUCUACUCAAAGCCUGAUUUCAUUACUUAUACUAAAUAAAUUGAAAUGCUCUUAUCCAUUUUACAGAUAUUUCUAGUUACUCGAUUGAACUACGUAGGUUCAGCAUGAGUACGUCGAAUUAACGUAAACCAAUUCCGUCCUACGAUCUCGCGAGGGUGUUCGAGCUGACGGGAAUCAUAACGAUAGUAUUAAAUUGACGUGAAUGAAGCGUGCGCGGUUAGAACGAUGCAGCCGUAACACGCCUCUCGUAGAAAGGUUCGGUUCUCGGAUCCGACUGGGUCGGGAAAACAAACCGUGUAUGUACGUCAGUUCGAUCACGUGGACCUGCCGCACACACUCGAAUUAAAGUAGGUUGCGAUCACGUGUCCUGUUUGCUCGUGUUCAAGCGUGGGGGCAGCGUGAUUCAAGCCCCAGUAGACUCUGUUAGAACUUGUUGCAGUUCCCAUUUUUGACCACUAGGGGCAGUGAUAACUCUGAUGAGCUCACUGCGCUGAGAACGAAACAUCGGCAGAUAUCUCGUUCAACUGCAACACUUUUUCAACUCGUGGGUCAAUCGAAAGAGUUCAUUAGUAUUUCGAGGACGUUUAAAGCGUACGGAGUUUACAAAGAUUAACGUUUAUUCAACAUCCGAAAGGCGCCUACGGACGAGACGUGUCAACGGGAAGAAGUCAGCCGUUACUAAUUGAAUACCAAGAACAGCAUGUGCCAAUUAACCGUCAGCUUUUAAUCUGUGAAGGCCUUCUUAAUUCGAUGUUUUACUUAUAAUUUGCGAACUAAAUAAAGGCUGUCAAUUUUUUUUUUUCAUCCCUUUUAUUGAAGAGAUCACUAAAGGAACAGCACGCAGCGACUUAUUUGAAGGUCUGUCAGCCGUCAUUAAGAAUUUAGUCGGGUACGUUAUAAAACCGAACAACUUUUGGUCUUUUAUUAGGCUUCAAUGAGUCCAGACGAUCCUCUUCGACGGCGGAUUUAAUAAAAUGACAUUGAAUUUUUCCUUUUAACGUCGGUUCUCACUUAUCGAGUAUGGUUGGGGGGGGGCGUUUUAUAUCUUCGAUAACAUUCUCGACUUGAGCGAUAAUCAAUCGAGGAAAUCCCUCCGAUUUUCUGACCUUACUCAAACACAUCGGACGUAUGAAACCGCUGAUUAGACCCUCAGAUCUUCUCACGUCUCACGUGCAGGUGCUCGAACAGCAGGAAAAUCAUUUUUACUCUGAUAAACAGAGCCCCCGAGGCCUGGCGUUUUUUUUCUUUCUUUUUUUUUUUUUUUUUAACAGGGCUGCUGCUGUGUGUUGUGUUUAUUAUCAGAUUAACGUCCAGGCCAGAGACUGGAACAAGACGCCGAAGCGUCAAGUCUUUAAUGAUGAUCAGAGCAAAAGCACAAAGAGCACGGAGAGGAGCUCAUCAAAUUUGCAUGGCAGAGAACAAAGAAAGCACAUAAAUCUCCCCUGGAGCCCUGAAGUCACUGAGAUUAAAGACAGGAAGCCACUCUGAGUUUCUGAUCGGCCAAUCAAGACGCAGAGACUUGUGAACUCCUGUUCGUGCCCAUGUUACUCCUGGACAUCCCGUGUUACUAUUCGGGGGGGGAUUGUCGUUACGAGGUUAAGGUGUGUAAAUGUAAGGUGAGUUUAAGGCUGCUUUCAUACUAGGAGGUGGUGGUGGUGUUUUUUUUUUUUUUUACUCAACCAUAUGGUGGAAUAAGGACGCUUUAAAAAAAAAAAAAAAAAAAGCGCUUUCCCGUCACAAAAGAAAAAGUACAUUUCUGACAAAUCAGACAUAUUUCAAUAAGGACCAAAACGCCCGCUCUUCGUUAUAGCUACGUAUUGCUAAAUAUUCCGAAAUCCAUGUAAUCCUUGUUGUCAGUGCAUCUAGAUGGAAAGUUCAACUAGCCAAUUAGCCGAAGUGGUAAAAGCUUCAUUACGGUGAUGAUUAGGUGGUCGGUACUCCAGUCGUCCAUGGAGAAAAGUGGGAGGAAAACGGAGUGAUGGAGAAUCACAACCCCCCCACCCCCCCACCCCCCCGCCCAAGCAUCACCAGAAUGCCUGCUGUUGUUCCUCUGUUGCCAUGGUGAUGAGAAAAAGCAGCUCCUUGUUCUGUACCCUAAGUGUUGUGCAUUAAGGUGGGAACAGGUACAGAGUAAAAAACGCCGAAGACACUAAAUCACACUAAAUCACAGAGACGAGAAAGACAGAGGUCUGAUGUUGGAGGUCUGAUUCUUCUAAUCCCGCUCGUCUGAGCUUCUCCCGAUCGCUAGCACUUUGUUCUCUCUGUAAAUGUAAAAUAUAUAGAGCGCUUUUAAAUGCAUGUUCAAUAUUUCGCGUCAUUUCACAUCAGAUCUCUCGCAUUGGAGCGAUGUGGAGCGUCGUAUUUUGGUUCUCACGCCCCUUCCCGGUCGUCCCCGAUCGAACAGAGACGUCUGCGGACGUCCGUUAUUAAAAUCCCUCGCUGUCGGUCGACACGAUCUACCGUUAUUUAUUUUCUCAUCGCCGUCAUAUUACAUUUAAUGGCUUGUAUCUGGCUCCAGAAAAGAGUCCAAUUCUACUCACGGUAAAUGUCAUAUCGUGUUUUUUUAAAUGUCAUAGUCUCACACACAAGCAGCUUGGAUACAUUUCCUGUUCGGAUCGCCGUAGCUACUGGAGAAUAUUCAAAUAUCACUUUCGGAACGCUGCACAUUUUAUAUCUUCAUUUUUUUUUUUUUUUAUCAUUUACACAAACACAACAAACACCAUGGUCUUCAUCCAAGGUUUCUUCCAACUCCCCAAAAUCAUGUCUGUAGUCGGAUCGGCGACGAUAAAUCGCCCGUACGCGUGAACGAGCGCGUGGAUGCGUUUGUGUUCUUGGUGCCGUGCGAUAGACCGGCGUCUUAUCCGGUGUUUAUUCCCGUUUCACACCCGGUAUUCCCGGGAUAGACUCCGGAACCACUGGACCAGGAUGAAGCGCGUACUGAAAGUAAACGGGUUAGUAGUUUACAUGAGCAGCGCCAAUAUUUCUGGACGGUAAUUUCACUCACGCUGUAUCCAACAUGGUUUCAUACACACACGAGUAGCCCAGUGGAAAAGUUGCUAGUCUUAAGUUAAGACGAGUGUGAGAAGUGGGACUAGCUUCGUGUGAAAUCGACAAAAUCGCUCCUUUGAUAAUAUUAUGUUGUUGUUGUUGUUGUUGUUGUUUGUGAGUGAGAUACUAUUGCUUUAUCAGCUUCACAUACUGUAUAGACAUGCUAUAGUUACAUACAAGCUGAAAGAGAACAUAGUUCCGUCUCUUUCGUUCCGCUUGGAGAUUAUUCGCACACAAACUGUCCUUAGCGGCUACGUGCUAGCUAGCUAAAUUGUAACGCUGCGGUCGAGUUAUCUCGGAAGUGGGAAGUCGGCGCUCGGAAUUACAGUCGUUUUAGACCUCUGUGCGUUCGAGCUACAAAGUGGGACAAAAAAAAACCCAAAAAAAAAUCCCACAGACGCGUCCGUGUUCGUCUUUUGUUCGAAACAAGCUAGCCAGCUAACGGCGAUGAACGUAUGUAUAUUUUCAUCCUCAAAACUAUCCAGUGAAAUGUCUAGUCAGUGUUGUGUUAUAGAUUCAAACAAGCGACUACACUGUAGUGUGCGUAUGUUGACCGAUAUAGCUAAAGCUAACACGGUACGAGUCCAUCCGGAAUUCCGGAGCAGGAAUUCCGAGUUGAUUUUUUUUCUUUGGAUUUUGAAAGCGUCGGGAGUCUGAAACGAGAAGUUACGCCAUUUUUUAGUCGAAUGGUGUCGGGGGGAAACCUCGGACGGGGUGCCGACGCAUCGCAGGGCACGAUCGCGCACGCGUUCACGCGCUAUGGACGAUUCGGAUAUGCCGAUCGACCCACAACGCAGGUUGUAGGACUGGACUGGAGGAGGAAACCGGAUUCAAAUCCCCAACCCUGGAGGUGUGAAGCAAACGUGCUAACCACUAAGCCACUGCGCCUCCCUGUCCGUCGUCCUCAAAGGCGAAAAUUCCCAAGCUUCCUUUACACGUACCGAUCAGUUCACGCGGGAUGCAGCCGAUCCUUGUUCGAUUCCAGACGGAGAUCCAGACGCACAUAAGUGUCUGGACUCUUCUCGUCUCACAAUACCGUUACACUUCACUUUGAAAUUCUCCAUCGUGGAUAUUAGAGCAUACUAAUCCCAACUGUUCAUCAGGGCCCGGUGCGGUUUUAUUCCCGAUCGCCCAGAUUUACAGCGCUCCACGCUAACAGGAUCGACCGUAUCACGGGACAGGUUUAUUCGAUCAAGGUGCCGCCGUAGUUAUGAGAUGCAAUCACCAAAUUGAACACGAUACGUCAUGGGAACUGCUGUUGCAGGGAAUUGCUUUUAUGCAAACCAGACCAUGGCGUAUCUCAUCCGCUGCCUUUCCAUUACACGGCGUAGAGAGGAUGCGGCUCUGAUCUCCUGCUUUAAAAGACGGUCCACUUUAAUCAGCGGACUCUUCAAUUUAAUUAAGAGAGAGGAACUGGACCUUAGCCACCAAUAGAUCUAGCGGGGUUCGGGGCUGGCGAACUUGUUCCGAACGCCCGAGUUGAUGUCUAGCUAGUGCGCGAAAGUGUAAAGAAAUUUCUCGAUCUGUAGAAGGGGUGGCAUAAACAGCUGCCGUGUCCAUCUCGCUCACACGUUCGUGUCGUGGCAAUUCUCUCUUCUAGCAGCUUCAUAUCUGACCAUCAGCAUGGGAGUUCAAACCCCUCCUUCUUCUUUUUUUCCUCCGCUCAUAAACGACAUCCAUUCAUUUUGCGCUCUUCGUUCACCUCAGACCCGGGCUCAGUGACCUACACAGCGAAAAGCACUCAGGAUGUCCCGGCGGACACGGACACGGAGACAGACCACGAGUACGACGCGUUCACGCACGCCGCACUCUGCCGGAUAAGACCUGCUGCAAAUAUGAUUAGAGAGAACACGAGGCCAGAAACCCGGCGACUCGACGCCGUGAUCUAAUUCAGCGACGAGGUAGAACCAGACGUUCGUCCGAAAGCUCGGGCGCUAUAAGACCGUUCCUCCCAUCGCAUUUUAGUGUCUCCGUGCAGCAGAACUUGAGAGAGAGAGAGAGAGAGAGAGAGAGA